CGGGUAGUGGUGCAGUUUGGUAGCAUACGUGCUUUGGGAGCACGGGGUCGCAGGUUCAAAUCCUGCCUACCCGACGA
Molecule: transfer RNA, 77 nt
Filed under: Fidelibacterota bacterium
Lineage: Bacteria; Pseudomonadati; Fidelibacterota
Description: tRNA-Pro
Rfam family: tRNA
About the family: Transfer RNA (tRNA) molecules are approximately 80 nucleotides in length. Their secondary structure includes four short double-helical elements and three loops (D, anti-codon, and T loops). Further hydrogen bonds mediate the characteristic L-shaped molecular structure. tRNAs have two regions of fundamental functional importance: the anti-codon, which is responsible for specific mRNA codon recognition, and the 3' end, to which the tRNAs corresponding amino acid is attached (by aminoacyl-tRNA synthetases). tRNAs cope with the degeneracy of the genetic code in two manners: having more than one tRNA (with a specific anti-codon) for a particular amino acid; and 'wobble' base-pairing, i.e. permitting non-standard base-pairing at the 3rd anti-codon position.
Source: RNAcentral